Molecule: ribosomal RNA, 588 nt
Filed under: Triticum aestivum (bread wheat)
Lineage: Eukaryota; Viridiplantae; Streptophyta; Magnoliopsida; Poales; Poaceae
Description: partial small subunit ribosomal RNA
Source: RNAcentral
AUGGAGGAAGCCACGGCACCAUCUUUGUCUGAAUCAUGUAGAAUGCCUUUAUCACAGUUGGCCAAAAAACAUCUAUUUGAACCUGAUACUAGUGAGAUAGCCAAUCCAGUGAUUACGAAGUUAGGCGUACCACACGGCCAUCCUGAGCUUGAACCACGUGGAUGGACGGCAGGGCCAUCUUUCUCAGCUCGUUGUUAUCAACCUCCCUCACCGGGGCCUAGACUUGAUGAAGCUUCAACCCUUGGUACACAUAUGAUAUCCAAAGGUUUAGGCUGGGAGAAUCAUGAGGUUGAGUAUGCCCCAAUGCCUCUUGGAUAUAUUGAAUGGGGUAUUAAUGUCUUGAAGAGAUAUCAUACCCACCUAAAGGGGAGUGAAGAAGGUGUGGACUACGUCUAUGGAGCCAUUUAUUGCUCUUUAGGCGACUAUUCUGUCUCCCCUUCUCUUUUAAGGUCUUUAUUGGAGAAAUGGGACCCCAACACCAACAUGUUUUUGUUCUCGUGUGGCGAGCGUACAGUCACACUUCUUGAUAUGCAUCAGAUUGCGGGUUGCCCCUUGAUGGUGAACCUUAUGAAGAAUAUGUUCCCCUAG